Austrofundulus limnaeus is the source of this 161-nucleotide long non-coding RNA. RefSeq lists it as uncharacterized. The transcript is spliced from 3 exons. NCBI's taxonomy places the organism in Eukaryota, Metazoa, Chordata, Actinopteri, Cyprinodontiformes, Rivulidae. The record is from RefSeq and is a predicted model, not a curated record.
GUGAGCAGCACAGAAUGGAGGAGGAAUCCAAAAACACAGGCACAAGGAGAGGUACCGUCAGUGAGGUCAAUCCACCUUAGGAAACAGGACCUGAAGAACCUUCCAGUCUGCCAGCUCGCUGCCCAGUGAAUUCUCCCUACCAAGAACACAAUCAAGGGACC